CAAAACUUGGUGAGGUAACUGGUGGUUGGCUUCUUUAUAAGGCAGCAGGGGGUUGGGGAAGCCGGAAGCUUUCACUUGUGGCACCUGCAGACUGUGGGUACACAGGCAGGCUUAUCAAAACCUCCAAAAUAGGGGAGAAUUCUGUCCUCUAUAUAGCUCCAGUACAAGAUGAGCUCGAUGUCACUCCCUUGCCACCAUCAUCAGAAGCAGUCCGAGAUAUGCCUAAAGCAAUGUGCAAAAAAUACUGCACCCACUUCAGAUCCUCACAAAUCACAUUAAGACUUGUUCUGAUGUUGUUGUGGUCGAAGAUGGAGAUGAAAGUCAGGAUGAAACUCUGCAUGAUCCACAAGAUGUGGAAAGUGGAAAAAAGAGCAAUGAACAGGCUUGCUGUCCUAUUUGUCUUGAAGAAAUGCCCCUUGACAUCUUGGAAGUUCAUGCCAGUGAAUGUGGGGAAAGGUGUGCAUGCCAAAGAGUAUUACUUUUGGCAUAAAUAGAAAAAUAUUUAUAAAAGUACAGUACUCUUUACCUCAUAUUAGAAGCAGAAUUUUAAUUGUUGUU
Long non-coding RNA from Carassius auratus (goldfish), 558 nucleotides. RefSeq lists it as uncharacterized. Lineage: Eukaryota; Metazoa; Chordata; Actinopteri; Cypriniformes; Cyprinidae. The transcript has 3 exons. The record is from RefSeq and is a predicted model, not a curated record.